RNAcentral lists this ribosomal RNA (86 nucleotides) under Burkholderiales bacterium. Its description in RNAcentral is "partial 23S ribosomal RNA". The stretch from base 1 to 74 matches the Rfam family "Bacterial large subunit ribosomal RNA", at positions 2852 to 2925 of the family's 2925-position model. Lineage: Bacteria; Pseudomonadati; Pseudomonadota; Betaproteobacteria; Burkholderiales. The record is from RNAcentral.
GUUGAUAGGUCGGGUGUGGAAGCAUAGUAAUAUGUUAAGCUAACCGAUACUAAUUGACCGUGCGGCUUGAUCCUAUAACUUUAACA